RNAcentral lists this ribosomal RNA (266 nucleotides) under uncultured bacterium. RNAcentral describes it as "partial 16S ribosomal RNA". It matches the Rfam family "Bacterial small subunit ribosomal RNA", at positions 793 to 1055 of the family's 1533-position model. The record is from RNAcentral.
GUCCACGCUGUAAACGAUGGAUACUAGGUGUAGGCGGUCAUUAACCCCGUCUGUGCCGCAGCCAACGCGUUAAGUAUCCCGCCUGGGGAGUACGGCCGCAAGGUUAAAACUCAAAGGAAUUGACGGGGGCCCGCACAAGCAGCGGAGCGUGUGGUUUAAUUCGAUGAUACGCGAAGAACCUUACCUGGGUUUGACAUCAAGGUAGUAGCAAGGUGAAAGCCGCGCGACCCUUCGGGGAGCCUUGACAGGUGCUGCAUGGCUGUCGU